Molecule: long non-coding RNA, 235 nt
Filed under: Pan troglodytes (chimpanzee)
Lineage: Eukaryota; Metazoa; Chordata; Mammalia; Primates; Hominidae
Description: long non-coding RNA NONPTRT001719
Source: RNAcentral
GGCAGGGCUACAGGUGAUCUGGUGAACUGGACUUGGUGUAUGGUGUGGAAGGGACUUUGGGAGAGACCUGUGCCCACGAUAAAAGGGAAGAUGAAGGUGUUCCUUUGAGUUUGCAUGUGUGGGGCCUUUUUGGCAUGGUUGACUUGUCUGUACUCCUUCCUGUGACUUGACAUCAAAAUUAGCCUUGCAGCUUCAGGACUGCUGAUCCUGAUUAUGCUGUGCAAAGGGUGUUCGU